This 454-nucleotide ribosomal RNA is filed under the name uncultured Bacteroidota bacterium. RNAcentral describes it as "bacterial SSU rRNA". It matches the Rfam family "Bacterial small subunit ribosomal RNA", at positions 9 to 457 of the family's 1533-position model. The record is from RNAcentral. Lineage: Bacteria; Pseudomonadati; Bacteroidota.
GAGUUUGAUCAUGGCUCAGGAUGAACGCUAGCGGCAGGCUUAACACAUGCAAGUCGAGGGGUAACAGGGAUUGCUUGCAAUCCGCUGACGACCGGCGCACGGGUGCGUAACGCGUAUGCAACCUACCUUCUACAGGGGGAUAGUCAAUAGAAAUGUUGAAUAAUACCCCAUACGAUCUUUGAAUAGCAUUAUUUAAAGAAGAAAGUUCCGGCGGUAGAAGAUGGGCAUGCGUCCUAUUAGUUAGUUGGAGAGGUAACGGCUCCCCAAGACAUCGAUAGGUAGGGGUCCUGAGAGGGAGACCCCCCACACUGGUACUGAGACACGGACCAGACUCCUACGGGAGGCAGCAGUGAGGAAUAUUGGACAAUGGAGGCAACUCUGAUCCAGCCAUGCCGCGUGCAGGAAGACUGCCCUAUGGGUUGUAAACUGCUUUUAUACAGGAAGAAAUGUACCU